GUAAUCGAAAUGUACGAGUGGUUUAAUGAACCUAAAUGCAUUUCAAUGGUCCUGGAGUACCCCAAGCCUUGUGUAGUCCUGACUGACUUUGUAAGCAAGAAGGGCAAGCUGGCCGAACCUGUGGCACGAUGCCUAGUGCAACAAAUAGUCCUGGCAGUCCAGCAUUGCAUCGACAAAGGAAUCGUGCACAACGACCUGCAUUCUGACAACAUCCUGGUCAACAAGAAGACUAUGCAGAUCAAGCUGAUCGACUUCGGCUGCGCUUACAAAGUGGAAGCACACAACUACGAUAAAGCAGUCUUAUCUAGCGCCUGGGCUAUAGGCUGCCUGCUGCAUUACAUGAUGACCGGAGACUUGGUCAACUACUUCGAUGUUAAAGUCAAGGGCAAGAUUUCGCUUCCACCCAGCUUAAUGAGAGACUGCCGAGAUCUGAUCACAAAGUGUCUGAGACAAAACAUGACGCUUGAUCAGUUCUUACAACACGACUGGAUGAAGAGAGCGUAGAAUGAAGACGAGACACGAUACAGAUGAAGAAAGCAGCAAGGUCUUCUGCAGAAAAUUAACAAAACAUUUCUAUAAAAAAACUCAUAAAAACCAACACAAACGUCAUAAAGAAGCCAAGAAGAACCCACAUCUAACUGAUCCAGAACCAGAGCCUGAUCCAGAGUCUGUCCUGAGACCCAAACACUGCAGGAUCAGCGUCGUCAUCAGUGCCAGGAAACUGCCUCUUCUGUGCAGGCAGAAAUGGAAACCCGUGAUGGACUCUGAGGAUGUGGAUGGUUAAAUCUGAGUGCAUUUUGAGGAGGACGUGUUGUUCCUCUAGAGGAUGAGGAUGAAGAAACACCAGCACCAGAACAAAGCAUUGGGUCAGGUUUAUAUGAUAAGCAGAAGGUUUAAAACAAUAAUGAAUUACAAAACUGUUAAAAAAUGAGCAAGCAUUACUAAUCUGGCAAAUAAAUCCCCUGAACACAAAUGAAGAGAACUUUAGAUGAAAUCAGAGAGCUCCCUCAUCCUUCAUGGACAGCAACAGCCCCAAGUUGCUCAGAAACAAAGUCCAGAA
RNAcentral lists this long non-coding RNA (1060 nucleotides) under Danio rerio (zebrafish). Its description in RNAcentral is "lncRNA si:ch73-212p10.2 (ENSDARG00000103668.2)". Lineage: Eukaryota; Metazoa; Chordata; Actinopteri; Cypriniformes; Danionidae. The record is from RNAcentral.